Marmota flaviventris (yellow-bellied marmot) is the source of this 793-nucleotide long non-coding RNA. RefSeq lists it as uncharacterized. NCBI's taxonomy places the organism in Eukaryota, Metazoa, Chordata, Mammalia, Rodentia, Sciuridae. The record is from RefSeq and is a predicted model, not a curated record.
CUUCCGUACACUCCCUGCCAUGGUGUUCUGUCUCACUACAGAUCCAAAAUCAAUGGAGCCGACAGACCAGGGACUAAAUCCGCUGAAACUCCUCUAGUACCACAUGAGAAUGAAUACACAAAGAGGAACAGAAGUACCAGUGUCCUGAAUGUGGCUACAAAUGCAAGUGGAUCAACCAGCUCAAGUACCACAUGACCAAGCACACAGGACUGAGGCCAUUUCAGUGUUCUGAGUUUUCAGAGAUCGUCACACCCGCGAAGCUGUUUCUCCUCCACACGCAGCCGUGGAAUUUGGUGUGCAGUGUUUCCAGCAUUUGCAGAACCAGAUUCAUAGUGCCUCUCUCAGGAAGCGCAGCACCAGCAGAGGCCUUGGGGUUAAAUGACUCCUCUACGUUUGAAUAAUUCCUGCCUCUUGGUUCCCUCCAGCCCUAGAUGUGGUAGCAGCUCCCCACUGUUGCUGUCUUUGGGAUACUUUCAGGCAUUGAUUCUUGACUAGGGACAAAUUUGCUUCCUAGGGGACAUUGGGCAAAAGCUGGAGAGAUUUUGGGUUGUCACAAUUCAGAAGAGGCAUGGGAAGUAGUGCUACUGCAUCUACUGAGCUGAGGACAGGGAUGCUACCAAACAACCUACAAUGCACGGGACAGACCACACGACAAAGAAUUGUUCCAACCACAUAUAUUAGUAUCAAGGUUGAGAAGCCCUGUUUUUUACCCUUUCAGUUAAAAAUGAUAUGCAUAGUGAAAUGGUACACAUAGUUAAAAGAACUUUAUAUUAAAUUCUUUCUGAUCAAAUAA